GUGAACGGCCACAUUGGGACUGAGACACGGCCCAGACUCCUACGGGAGGCAGCAGUGGGGAAUAUUGCACAAUGGGGGAAACCCUGAUGCAGCGACGCCGCGUGAGGGAAGAAGUAUUUCGGUAUGUAAAGCUCUAUCAGCAGGGAAGAUAAUGACGGUACCUGACUAAGAAGCCCCGGCUAACUACGUGCCAGCAGCCGCGGU
Molecule: ribosomal RNA, 204 nt
Filed under: uncultured bacterium
Lineage: Bacteria
Description: partial 16S ribosomal RNA
Rfam family: Bacterial small subunit ribosomal RNA
Source: RNAcentral